GUCUAAACGACUCUCGGCAACGGAUAUCUCGGCUCUCGCAUCGAUGAAGAACGUAGCGAAAUGCGAUACUUGGUGUGAAUUGCAGAAUCCCGUGAACCAUCGAGUCUUUGAACGCAAGUUGCGCCCGAAGCCUUCUGGCCGAGGGCACGCCUGCCUGGGCGUCACGCAUCGCGUCGCCCCCUCC
RNAcentral lists this ribosomal RNA (184 nucleotides) under Veronica campylopoda. Its description in RNAcentral is "5.8S ribosomal RNA". The stretch from base 9 to 164 matches the Rfam family "5.8S ribosomal RNA". Rfam says of the family: 5.8S ribosomal RNA (5.8S rRNA) is a component of the large subunit of the eukaryotic ribosome. It is transcribed by RNA polymerase I as part of the 45S precursor that also contains 18S and 28S rRNA. Lineage: Eukaryota; Viridiplantae; Streptophyta; Magnoliopsida; Lamiales; Plantaginaceae. The record is from RNAcentral.